Molecule: ribosomal RNA, 300 nt
Filed under: uncultured fungus
Lineage: Eukaryota; Fungi
Description: partial 18S ribosomal RNA
Source: RNAcentral
GCCACUAUCCCUACCAUCGAAAGUUGAUAGGGCAGAAAUUUUGAAUGAACCAUCGCCGGCGCAAGGCCAUGCGAUUCGUUAAGUUAUUAUGAUUCACCAAGGAGCCCCGAAGGGCGUUGGUUUUUUAUCUAAUAAAUACACCCCUUCCUGAAGUCGGGGUUUUUAGCAUGUAUUAGCUCUAGAAUUACCACAGGUAUCCAUGUAGUAAGGUACUAUCAAAUAAACGAUAACUGAUUUAAUGAGCCAUUCGCAGUUUCACAGUAUAAAGUGCUUAUACUUAGACAUGCAUGGCUUAAUCUU